Molecule: ribosomal RNA, 253 nt
Filed under: uncultured bacterium
Lineage: Bacteria
Description: partial 16S ribosomal RNA
Rfam family: Bacterial small subunit ribosomal RNA
Source: RNAcentral
UACGUAGGGUGCGAGCGUUAAUCGGGAUUACUGGGCGUAAAGUGUGCGCAGGCGGCAGAGCAAGUCGAGUGUGAAAGCCCCGGGCUUAACUUGGGAAUUGCGCUCGAAACUACUUUGCUGGAGUGUGGCAGAGGAAGGUGGAAUUCCACGUGUAGCGGUGAAAUGCGUAGAGAUGUGGAGGAACACCAAUGGCGAAGGCAGCCUUCUGGGCCAACACUGACGCUCAUGCACGAAAGCGUGGGGAGCAAACAGG